Non-coding RNA from Podarcis lilfordi (Lilford's wall lizard), 71 nucleotides. NCBI's taxonomy places the organism in Eukaryota, Metazoa, Chordata, Lepidosauria, Squamata, Lacertidae. The record is from the annotation of a GenBank genome assembly.
GGAUAGCUCAGUUUGGUAGAACAUGAGACUCUUAAUCUCUGGGUCACGGGUUCGAGCCCACAUUGGGAAAA